Molecule: long non-coding RNA, 1383 nt
Organism: Drosophila mojavensis
Lineage: Eukaryota; Metazoa; Arthropoda; Insecta; Diptera; Drosophilidae
Exons: 7
Source: RefSeq, a predicted model, not a curated record
UCACCUAACUCUACAAGGGAAAAUCUGACUGGCAAAUCUUUGGUCUGUUAUACUUAAACGCUUAUCCAAACUACUGAGUAAUCACUUAAUUCUACAACCGCUGAGCUGGAAACUCUACUGGUCAGAUCUUUGGGCUGUAAUACUUAUCCAGACUACUGAGUGAUCACCUAAUUCUACAAUCGCUGAGCUGGAAACUCUACUGGGCAGAUCUUUGGGCUGUAAUACUUGAACGUUUCUCCAAAGGGAAAAUCUGACUGUCUUUUCUUUCUGAUGUAAUACUUAAACACUUAUCCAAUCUAUUGAGUGAUCACCUAAUUCUACAAGGAUUAACUUUGUUUGGCAAAUCUUCGGGCAUAAUCUGGCUGGCAAAUCUUUGGGAUGUAAUAGUUAAACACUUAUCCAAAGGGCAUAAUCUGGCUGGCAAAUCUUUGGGCUGUUAUACUUAAACGCUUAUCCAAACUACUGAGUAACCACCUAAUUCUACAUCCGCUGAGCUGGAAACUCUACUUGGCAAAUCUUUUGGAUGUAAUACUUAUCCAAACUAAUGAGUGAUCUUCUAAUUCUACAAGGACAAACUUUGUCUGACAAAUCUUUGUGAUGUAAUACUUUAACAUUUCUCCAAAGGGAAAAUCUGACUGUCUUAUCUUUCUGAUGUAAUACUUAAACACUUAUCCAAUCUAUUGAGUGAUCACCUAAUUCUACAAGGAUAAACUUUGUUUGGCAAAUCUUCGGGCAUAAUCUGGCUGGCAAAUCUUUGGGAUGUAAUAGUUAAACACUUAUCCAAAAAAAGUCUGGCUGGCAAAUCUUUGAGCUAUAAUACUUAGACGCUUUUCCAAACUAUUGAGUAAUUACCUAAUUCAACAAUUGAAAAUCUGGCUGGCAGAUCUUUGGGCUGUAAUACUUAUCCAGACUACUGAGUGAUCACCUAAUUCUACAAGGAUAAACUUUGUCUGGCAAAUCUUCGGGCUGUAUUACUUUAACAUUUCUCCAAAUUCCACAGGGGAAAAUCUGACUGUCUUAUCUUUCUGAUGUAAUACUUAAACACUUAUCCAAUCUAUUGAGUGAUCACCUAAUUCUACAAGGAUAAACUUUGUUUGGCAAAUCUUCGGGCAUAAUCUGGCUGGCAAAUCUUUGGGAUGUAAUAGUUAAACACUUAUCCAAAGGCAUAAUCUGGCUGGCAAAUCUUUGGGCUGCUAUACUUAAACGCUUAUACAAACUACUGAGUAAUCACCUAAUUCUACAACCGCUGAGCAGGAAACUCUACUUGGCAAAUCUAUGGGCUGUAAUACUUAAAUGCUUACCCGCUGAUAACUUAAUCGCAGGAAGUUUAUUAAAUCAGUAUAAAUCAAAUAAUAAUAUGCAUCAUGUAAAUUUUAAUAAAUU